AAAAUAAAAUCAUAUGACCAAGGGUCAUUCCACUACUCUCUUCCUCUCAUUCCCGUACAACCCUCAAGAAACAAAAAAAAAUGAAGAACACCAUUCUCUAAUAGUGGUUAGGAAGCAAGAAAAUCGGAAAAGAAGUGCUAGAGCAGCCCCGAAUUGGUGAAGAAUCUAAACAUGAGAAGGCCAUCAAAUUGAAGUAUAGGAGAAGAUCUAUUGAAGUCAACUAGGGAUUAAGGUACACAAGAGGUACUACUAAUGUUUUCAUGUUUUAAUUGGUGUGAGAUCAUGAGAUGAGUAAUUUUUUGUUACAUGCAUGUGUGAUUUGAUGACUUAAACUAUGUUUUUCUCAAGUUUGUUGAACAAUCUAUUGGCGAUUUGAAUUUAUGGAAUGAGUUAUGAUGUUGUAAUGAGAUUUAUGGAGUUGUUGAUUGUUGGGUAGAUUGUUAAAUGUUUUAAUUCGUUUUUUUAGUUCUAAUUCCAAUCCUGUAACUUGCUGGACCAGUUCUUUUA
Spinacia oleracea (spinach) is the source of this 507-nucleotide long non-coding RNA. RefSeq lists it as uncharacterized. The transcript has 3 exons. NCBI's taxonomy places the organism in Eukaryota, Viridiplantae, Streptophyta, Magnoliopsida, Caryophyllales, Amaranthaceae. The record is from RefSeq and is a predicted model, not a curated record.